RNAcentral lists this ribosomal RNA (333 nucleotides) under uncultured bacterium. RNAcentral describes it as "bacterial SSU rRNA". It matches the Rfam family "Bacterial small subunit ribosomal RNA", at positions 568 to 898 of the family's 1533-position model. The record is from RNAcentral.
UACGUAGACGGUUGGAUAAGUCGGAUGUGAAAGCCCCGGGCUCAACCUGGGAAUUGCAUUCGAGACUGUUCAGCUAGGGUGCGGAAGAGGGAAGCGGAAUUUCCGGUGUAGCGGUGAAAUGCGUAGAUAUCGGAAGGAACACCAGUGGCGAAAGCGGCUUCCUGGUCCAGCACCGACGUUCAGGUACGAAAGCAUGGGGGAGCAAACAGGAUUAGAUACCCUGGUAGUCCAUGCCAUAAACCGAUGAGGACUAGACGUUGAGGGGGUAAGCCUCCCAGUGUCGUAGCUAACGCGCUAAGUCCUCCGCCUGGGGAGUACGGCCGCAAGGUUGAA